This is a long non-coding RNA of Athalia rosae (coleseed sawfly), 7977 nucleotides long. RefSeq lists it as uncharacterized. The transcript has 2 exons. Lineage: Eukaryota; Metazoa; Arthropoda; Insecta; Hymenoptera; Athaliidae. The record is from RefSeq and is a predicted model, not a curated record.
UUCGGAAACCGUACUUAUGGCAGGGGUGGUUUUGCCAGGGGGGGUGGUGGUGGUAGGAUGGGUUGUGAUAUACGCGAUAAAAAUGGCGUUUAUCUAUUUUCACGUACGCACGCAAAUGCAGGAUUCGUAAUAAUUUAUAUCCCGAUCGAUUCGUUUCUAGAAAAAUUAACGCACACGCGUUUACCCGCGCAAUAAAUUUCACUGAAUACAAUUAUCCCAGGUGAUAUCGAUCUCCGUAUAAUCUGACGAUAAUUAAAACCGCGUACCGAUAUAACGUUAAUCUUCGCAUCGUCCGGUUAAUUGGAUCGCACUCGGAUUAUUCCCGCUACUGCUAUUCGUUUUAUUUGUUAUUUAUUUAUUUUUUUUUUUUUCUCUUCCCCCGAGCUUUUCCACGACACGGGUAGAGCAACGCGCGCCCGAUUAGAUGCGACUUAGUGUAAUAAAUAGCCGGUUGGAAACGUUGUAAUCGCAUCAUGUAAGGAAAGCGGACGAGUAGGCGCGCCGGUACCAGGGAAUCGUGAACGGGGGUUAGACGUGGAAAGGGAAGAAGAAGAAGACCCUGCGAUCUAGGGAAUUUGUGGCUCGUUAUACGAUAAUUUGUGAUUGUAAAGGUUUUACUACCUCGUUCCCUCCAACGAUACGGGAUAACGCUCUCCUCUUCUUUUUCUGUUAAUAAAUUUAACGAUUUGAUCCGCGAUUCUCACGUGUAACGUGUACGUUACGCUGUAAAAUCAAAAACCAAAGAGACGUGCCUGUUAUACGAUCACCCGAGGGAUUUUAUGUCUUUUUUUUUGUUUUUUUGUUUUUAAUCUUUACAAUGCGGAUAAUUUACAAGUUUUCCGUAUCUCCCAUCGUGUAUACGCAUUUAUUGCACGACCGUAUUACGAUCGCCGAAUCGCGUUGUACGGCAACGAAAAUUUCCGAUCCGAUUCGGCGCGUUGUAAAUCCUGUAAAAUUUGCCUACUACCUAACCCGUAGCCUCGGAAAAUCGUCGACGAUUUCAACGACUAAUUCCACCCCGCGUUCGGUGUUCACGUUACACCCGGAUCGUCCAAAAAUACAACGGUAGAAACAUGUCGGGACGACUAAUUCCAUAUCCGGCCACAAUAAACCGAACACGAUUGAACAAUAAAACAAUUCGUUUUGCCGAACGCCACGCGACCCCGGAACACGAAUCGUCCUUCCGAAAUCGUCACGUUUUCAUAUAGCACUUAUUUUCUUUUCCCCGUUCUUUUUGACGUCAUUAUAUUCCAAAGAGAAAAUAAAAUUCAUCGACGAUCAUGCGGGGAAAAAUCGAGGGGUCCUCCUCCUCCUCCUCCUCCACCUCGAUAUCUCCUUAUUUUCCGACUCCGCGCAGCGAACUCGCAAUACCUUCCUUCUUUCGCUUCGAAAAUCCGCUAAUAAAUCCCGUACACGCGGGUACUCGAAAAAAAUCAGCAGGCAUCGAGCCAACGUGUACAAGGGUGCUUUCUCUCUUAUCUCUUUUCAUCUCUUUUUCCCCCCUCCCCGUUAUUAUCAUCCUACGUAACGUAUAAAUUCUUGGCCCACCUACGUUAAUUUUCAUACUUUACACUUUACGGAGUUUACAACGAGGAAAUUUUAUUUCCCUCACCCCAUCCGAAUCGCGCCGAUACAUAUCGCACCCUCUUCUCCUCUACGUCUCGUAUACUUUCUCCAACUCCUCGUCCCUCGAACCGCUCGAGGUUUUCAUCGUUUCUGAUUAUUUCUCGUUCGUACACGGUGCCGCGGAAUAGGCUCGACACAAAUAUCCGAAUGUGUGUUCGAGGAUGUAACGCGGUAAACGGGGCCGGGGUAUAACGUCCGUCUUAUUUCAUCGUGCCGCACAUUCCACGUGCUACUAUCACGUGGGCGUUACGCCCCUGAAUAUCCCACCCGUCGCGUACCACCGACCCCUGGAUAUAUCCCGGCGGAAAGUUUGAUUGCUCCCAGAGUUUUUGAGACCCUCUCGACGCCUCCCCCCCCCCAACCACCACCACCAGUUUUUCCCGCUAGAAAAUUUUCUUCGCGAGGCACGUCGACUGCUCGACGCUACCGUAUGAUUGAUUGCACGCCGUACUCUGGACAACCGAAAUCCUGCGGGAUUUAUAUCGAUGCAAAGGGGGAGGGGUGAGGAUGAUAAAAAAAAAAAAAAAAAAAACAUUUACAAAAAUUCGUUACUCUUGUACGGCGGCCAAUCGGAUACCGAAUCGCACGGCGGUGGUGAGAUGGUUUUAUUUUAUUUUUUUUUGUUUCGGUAAUUUGGGUUUUUGGUGGAAAAUUUUUUUUUUUUAUGAAUGUUGCCGAGGGUACGUGGCAUCGGGGAACUAAUCUAUAUAUAUAUAUAUAUAUAUAUAUACGUAGUAAAGCAAACUCGGUGGAAGCCAAUCCAAUCACUGAAAGUCUCUGGAACUUAGGGGGUGGAUUAAUUGAUUUGAUUCCAAGGGUUGCCGGGUCCUCGUUCCCUCUGGCUUCUUACCGCCCCCCCCUUCGACUAUCGCCCUUUACGACGUCGAUGGCGGGGGAGCCGAAUUAACCGGGUGCCCCCCGUGAGGUUUCCGGAACCUCGGGUUGAAAGGUCGACUGCCGACUGCGUUAUAGUUCGGGUUUUCUUUUGGCUUUUCUUUUUUUUUUUUUUUUCAUUCUCUAUUCCACGUUCCUAUUCGUCAUUGGGCGACUCUCCGUGCGAUUUGAAAAUCCGGGAGCAGAAAACCAGAAGAGGAUAACAAAUAGGAAUCCCAACAGCGAGACCUUUCCUUCUAUCGCCCCCCCCCCCCUAAAAUAUUUCAACCCUCCUAAUAUUCCUUCACUCUCCGUUUAUUCAUUUAUUUUAUCUAACCAUCUUCUAUUUUACUUUUUCCCAAAUGCUUUACGCUCUCCUCUUCUCCGUCCCUUGAUCGGAUUCGAGGAGACGGAAAAAGGAGUCGUUUGACCCGGGGGUUAAUUGAUGCAAAGGACAUGACAAAAAAAAAAAAAGAGAAGAAAAGAAAAGAAAAGAAAAAGAAAAAAAUUAUCGAACUAGCGGGCUUCGUUUCGACGUGGCUUCUCGUUCAUCUGAAGCGUGUAGUUUUCCAAUUUUAUUCGGCUACCUGACGUCUGCCCCGGAGUCUUCUUGGACACGAGGCGUCGUUGGAAGGAGAGAGGGGGAGGGGGGGGGAGACGAGUUAUAAAAAUUAUCCGAGUUACCGCGGUGGCGAUUAAAGAUUCAUGCAGACCGUCGCUCAAUCAUUAUAAUCCACGUCGUGACGUAACGCUUGCGCCUCGAUACGCGUAUAGGUGUGUGCGCGUAAUAAAGUGUGCGUGCGCGUUCACCAGAGUUCCCCGAUUGCCGGUCACUAUAAUUCAUUUACGUCAGGAUCGCUCUUCAAUUAUUCAGCCGAUCGCCGCUUCCAACCAACCAUGUAAUAAUGCGCACUCACAAUCAACCGGGAGGACGACGACGACGACGACGUUGCGUACGCGCGUAUACGUGCGAUACACCCUCCCCCCCCCGUGCCGCCGUAACGCCCCGUAUUUCAACUUCCCCCCGUGAGUUUGACUCGGAUGAGAAAAAAAAAGAAAAAAAAUCGUGGUGAGAAAAGCGAAUUAAAAAAAAAAGGAGAAGAAGAAGAUUCCUCGAUUGGUGGCGUUUCGCGAAACGGCGGUGACACUCGGCGACGGUACCGCGCGAACGCCGACGCCGGUGAAUCGCGGCGGCGCGCAACGACGAGGUCCGAUGAAAACGGGUGGGUGCGUCAUCCGAGCGAGAUGAGAUGAUCAAUUAAAAUGACGCCGGAUGCAGCUGCACGUGUUACAUCAUCCCGUCGUAGAGUCACUCGUUUAGCCUUGAUCCCUCCCAGCUGAAAGCCUUGGUCACCCACCACCUCGUCUCCGGCGGUCCUAGGCAAAGCUACCGUGUACUUGGCCUUUUCUCGUAUCGACUAUAUCCUCCCUUCUCUCUCUCACGAUCCGUAAGAGGAAUUAUUAUUUCAUACGUAUUUGUUAAUCGUACGGCUGCACUUCCGCGUGCCUCAAAGAUAUCGAUGAUAGGUACUGGUACGCCCGUCGACGUGUGUGAUGUCCCUCGUUAUACCGCGAAAGAAGAAGAAGAGAAAAAAAAAAUGGAGAGGAGGGGAGGAGAAAAAAAAAAAAAAAAAAUGGGAAAAAAUUUCAACCGCCGAGCGAAAGAGACGAUCCAUCAACGCGACGUGGCGUAUGGUUGGGAACAGAAAUUAUAUUUCGGACGCACCAUUGUGCGGCGAAGCCGCGUGUAAAGAGACCGGGUCUCUCAUUGAUGACCAUUGUAAUCGUUGUAAUGGCCAUUUCUGUCUUCGUUUUACUCCAACCAUUUGGAUUUCAGACUGUACGCUCGAUUGUUUUCGCUUCCAUCUUCGGACCGGUACGAGCUACACGUUUGACUCACGGUUACUCGCAGCUAGAAUAUAAACGUAUGUAACGCGUACGUCACCUCGACGAGUGCGGGUGAUCGUUAUCACCGUCAUCGUCAUCGCCGUGUAUAAACGAAUGUACGCCUCGCACGGUCAAUUAUUACUGCGCUUUGCACCGCGACGCGAUGAUGUCAAAUUCCCGGCGAUUGUUCACCGUCGCUUCGGACAAUGGAUUUAAUAUUCUCCUCUGUUUUCAUGCAUCGGGAUAUAUAUUUUUUUCUUCUUCUCAACACCGACGUGUUCCCUCUCUACGUGGGUGCGGAUUUUUCAAUUUUCUUCGGCCGCUGCUUUAUUUCCCUUUGCUCCUUUCUCUCCAUUGUCGCGACAUUUUUUCUCGCUCGUUUUUUCUCUACCACUACCUACUCUACGGCCUCGGGGCAAUCCGGACCGUGGAAUAUGCGGGUAGGAAACAGUGGCGAGGUUUUAGGGUGGGUGGCGGGAGGGAAAAAAGUCAGGAUGUCCAGGUCCGAAUGAAGUCGUCCGUGCGUUGCCUUGCGGACCGAGAAGAUGCUGCGCGGGUCCAACCCUCUCUUUCUUUUUUUGCCUCGUCUCCUUCUCUCUCUCUCUCUCUCUAUUCACAUCGGAGCUAGUCUCUUUUCUUCGAUAAAGAGAUGAUGUACCGCGUGGUCCACACGGGAUGCGGGCUCGGCCGGGGCGACUACGAUAACAAUCAGUCGCCCCGAAAGAGAAAAGAAAAAAAAAAAAAAAAAGGAGGAGAAGAAGAAAAAAAGAGAGAAACUAAAAAGACGGGCGUACACGGUGCUGCAGCGUCUGGAGAACAGCCAGAGAUGAAGAAAUGUGAGGAAAAAAAAAGAAGAAAAAAAUUGUGUAUAAAAUGAAGUAAAAUAAGAGAGAGAGAGAGAGAGAGAGAGAGGGAGGGAGCUGAGAAACUGGUAUAUCGGUACACGUGGAAUAUAAAAGAAUCCGCCGCUCGUAAAAGAGUAAAGAAAAUAGAGAAAAAGCUUUGGGUAAAAAAAUGCACGUACCGCGGGAUGAAAAGGAGAAGAAAAUUAGGUGACAGGCAGAUCGGGAAUACGGUUCUAGGCACGCAUACGAAGAAAAUCUGAACGCAUACCGAACCAAGUUGUAUGAGGGGGGAAUGUAAAACUAUAAACGCCCCGACCGACCGACCGACCGACCGACCGACCGGUAGAGUUUCAAAGUUCCUUCGAGUCGUGAGACACACAUGGAGCCCGAAUUAACGAUAUGAUCUUAGAUCGGACGGUUCUCUGGUUGUCUGCGUGUCGGGAUGGGCCCGGUCCCAACUCGGUGAGUUUCGGGUACGGGGCGAGGUGAGGUCGGUCGGUCGGUCGGUCGGUGCGGCUCGACUCGGGUUUUGGGUUCGUACGGUUUUUCCUUUUGGGUUAAACUCCGACGGAGGAGGAUGCGCCGCCGCUGCUUCAGCUGGAUAAGACGUAUUACGGAAUAGACGCCGAGAUCCACGGUUCGUUGCGCCAGAUGGCCGCCACACAGACGAGCCGAGUGAGUCGAGCGAGAGAGUCACGGCCGAGUCCCGCGGCUUUUCGAACGCCGAUGCACCACCGAGACGAAGAAGUAGAAAAUGACGAUGAUGAUGAUGAUCAUGAUCAUGAUCAUGAUGAUGAUGAUGAUCAUCGUCUUCGUCGUAAUGACGGUGGAAUGAUGAAAAUAACUCGCUAGAUAUCCGUAGUCGGAGCUAUUGUACACGCGGAUCGUCAUAUGCAUCGAAUGUUUACUGGAAUUGCGUUAGUUGUUGAUCUUUGACGUUGAUUCUUGCAUUCUAUCAUUACCAUAACUGGCCCCCAGGGUCUCCGCUCGAGUCCAACGGUUUCGAGUCGCUCGGCUCUCCUCGGCAUCGAAGUCGACGCGAUCUUUUUUUCAUCCCUCCCAUCGCCCCGCGUCGAGCGUUUCCAAAAAACAGCCUCCGGGAACCGAGUGACCGUCGUCGAACCUCGCGGCGAAGAAGGUCACCCCCGAAAAUUCCCACCCCCCCCGAAAAUAUUUCCUCGCGCUAUCCGAGUCCAGAGUGCGCGGGUAGGCGACGAGUGAUUUCUGUCGAUCAAAGGAUCCACGUCAUCGUACAGCCGGGCCGGGGAUUACGCACACACGCGAUAGGCAAGAUGGUCGGAGAGUCCCUCUCUCCCCGUUAAUUUUUUUUUUUUUCCCUCUCUCUCUCCCGCUCUCCCGCUCUCUCGUCCCUCCCCCUCCGAGAGGUCUGUCAAGUGUCACUCGCAGCCGCCAGAGGCGUUGCUGUCGUUCACUGCCCCCGACGAAUGGAAUAAGGGGCGGGGUGGCAAGUGGGGGGAAUCUCGGGCGCGUGUGACUUGCUCGCGUGUGUCUCCAGUCCUCGACACUCAGUGCGUCGGAGACGGUCGUACAGGGAUGCAAGACCCGGUGGUUCUAUUCUCGAAAGUUGAUAGUUUUGAUAUGAAGAUAUAAUUCCUAAUAUCUGUACGUGAUACAACGACGACGAUGUACAACGAGCGCGCGCCCUUUAAUCCUCCGUUCGUUAUCGAAACGCCUUUUAAAUUAUCCGCAUAUUUAUAAUAUGUAUUGAUUAAAAAAAAACAAUAAUGUAACUGUGCAACUUGCAACAGAUUUUCAUGGAAAACAAAUUCACCCACCCCGAUCGAUCGGAACCGGAUGUUCGGUCAUUCGUCUCAUUACGUGAAUUGAAGUGCUUAUUUGGACCCAAAGAGAAAAAAAAAAAAAAAUAGGGGAUGAAAAACAUUUUUCACGUUCGAUUUAUUAGGGGUGGACGGUCUCCGGUAUUUUCCGAUAGAGAUUUAUCGAUCACGCGAAGAAGAUAACGAAGAUUGAAGAAAUUGAAAAAAAAAAAAAAAAAAACCCCGAGAAGAUAUGAAAAAAGAAGAUGACGAACUGGAGUAGCCGGAGUGGUGAUGAUAAUCGAUUUUAUUACAAAAGUCAAAAAUCAAAAAAAAAAAAAAACUGGAAAAAAUCGAAUAAGAAACAAAUUGUCUUGUGAAUAUGGUAGAGAUCCAGCAGCGAGGUAUAGAGUUCCUACGUAGUAUUCAGAAAGUAGGAACUUCAUACCGUGCUCUUGGACUUGCCGAAAGCUCUUCGUUGUUGUUAACAAACCACACAUCACCUAUGAAAUGAAAAUGAAGCGAAAAACUGAAAAAAAAAAUUACAAAACUUCGAUACCGAAUGAUAUGCCGAAUCAUUACAACUUUGGAUAAUCAAGAUAACGAUAUCAUUGAUCAAAAAAGAAAGAAAAAAAAUGAAAAAAAAUAUCUAGAAAGAACAAACAAUUCAGAUGAGAAAACAGUGCGCAGGAGAAGAACAACUGCGUAAGUUAUUUGAAAAAUAAAAAAGAAAAAAUAAUUAAUGGAUUGGAAUGAGAAAAAAAUUUGUCGUAAAAAUUAUAUAGCAUACGUGUGUACGUGUAUACAUGUGUGUGUGUGUGUCUGUGUGUGUGCGUGAGUGUGCCUUGGUUCGCGUGUAUGCGUAGACAUAUGUGUUUAGUAUUUUACAAGUUUUGAAAAAAACAUGUUUAUGCAUCGAAAAUUCGUUAACGAUAAUCGUUUAUUCGCAGUAUAUUUUUUGUUGGGAG